This is a long non-coding RNA of Mirounga angustirostris (Northern elephant seal), 1126 nucleotides long. RefSeq lists it as uncharacterized. NCBI's taxonomy places the organism in Eukaryota, Metazoa, Chordata, Mammalia, Carnivora, Phocidae. The transcript is spliced from 4 exons. The record is from RefSeq and is a predicted model, not a curated record.
GGGAUCGAGCCCCGCAUCGGGCUCCCUGCUCGGCGGGAAGCCUGCUUCUCCUUCUCCCACUCCCCCUGCUUGUGUUCCCUCUCUCGCUGUGUCUCUCUCUGUCAAAAAAAGAAAUAAAAUCUUAAAAAAGAAGAAGAAGAAGCGUUAAUUACGGGCCCCACCAGGAAAGAUGUAAAACAUUGCAUCUCCUACAAGAAAUCAACCACCCCUGCAACUCAGCCAGUGAGAAACCAUGAUCACCCCCAAACUCUUGCUUCUCCCUAGUGGACUUCUGUUCAAAACAGUGCCUCCCAGCUAACUCCUUCUGCUCCACAAUAUGCCAUUCCUCUCUUUUGUUAGACUUCCUAUGGUUUUGCCAUAGCUUGCUUAUCCCGGAUUGCAAUUCUCUGCUCUUUCUGAAUAAACCCAUCAUAAGUGUCGGUAACAUAACCGAUAGUCUCAUUUUUAAGGUUAACAUUACUUGGUGAUCAGAAGUAGGACCCAGAGAAGACCCCCAACAAUUCGGAGGCUGGUGAGCAAACAGGUACUUCCACCGACAGACCCUACUAGGCUCACUGCUUUCUCUCCAACCCUGGAGAUUGAAGGUAAGAUGUUGGGGUUCAGCGCCGAUGGCCAAGAAAGAAUUCUUGAGACGUCUUUGGUGCAAAAAGCAAAGUGUUAACAUCGAGGCAGCUGAGCACCCAGAGGAAAGUCACUCGACCUGUUUCAAGGACUUGUCAAUGGGCUGAAGGAAGCUCCACACCCAACAUGGGGCUUGAACUCACAACCCUGAGAUCCACACCCAACAUGGGGCUUGAACUCACAACAACUGAGCCAGCCACGCACCCCAAGAUUAUCUUGAGCUGAAGGUACUCAAGACCCUGCGGGCUCAGAAGAAACUUUUGCCACUCCCUUAACUACAUAGAAGAAUAUAAAUUGGGGGUCUUUCCUAGUAUAAGGGUUAUUAUGAGAGAUGACUUUUAUCUGCAUGACCCAUCUAUAUGGCAGGGCGGGCUUCUAAUUACCAAACAUCUGCUCUUCUCAUUGCCCUGAGAAUUGCAUUCCUUUUCCCUGAAGUCCUGGACCCCUAUGCCCUUCUCCUCAGUUCAGAAUGACCUAUAUACGUCAUUCUGCCUGUUUUUGGAAU